GUGGCUGCCUGGUGACAGCUCAGCUCUGCAGCCACCACCAGUUGCAGCUCUGUGCGACUGCAUGCAGAGCCCAAGAAACACCUACAUUUUAUUAAAACAACGAAACCCAGCCAGCACAGGUGGGAGCAGCACUUACCCACAACCAAAAGUUUAGGAAAGGAAAACUACUGUAAGUGCCCUAGGAGUACUCCUGACAGUGCCUGCAACAGGUCACCUGGCCAGGUUGCUAAAUAAUAUUACACGCACCAACUACAGGGCUUACAAUCAUGGAGCCUUGCUUUCUAUAUGACUCCAGAGAAUUGGACCAAGAAACAAUCAACGGAUGAAACCCUGCAAAUGGAUUGAUUUUCAGUGGAUGACGGUUUUUAAGGAGAAAAAAAAAAAAAGAAAAAAAGACCAGGUGACAAUGCAUGCUGCUUCCUCGAUGUUACCACCCGUUAUAAAGAAAUGGUCCGGAGAUCAUAUUCAUGGAUCAUAGCUGAUAAAAAGCAAAACGUGCACACCUACCAUGCAUCUCUUGAUGGGUUUGUUCACUUUGAUGCUGUUCCUCAAGUUAUUUUCAGCUACAAGUGAUCAACUUUGCAACUUUUUCGUGUGAGAGUUAGAAAUGUUUUUUCCGCCGAGCUGUGACGUCAGAUUCUGAUUGGUUCCCAGCAGUCCCAUCAUCACAUUUAUUGUGGACCUGUUAUGUUUGUGUUUUACAAAAGGGGAACUGAAGAAAAAUGAGUGUACAAAAAGAACAUGGUUAUGGGUUCAAUCACUUGAGGUCAAGGGUUACGAAAAUCACAUCAGUAAAACUUAUGGCUGCAUGAAUUAAAGAAAUGGACAGAAAAUUGAUCUACUGAACAGUUUGCCACCACCACUGGUUUAAAGAAUGUUUGUUGGUGAAGUCAGUCCUGGAAGGUUCCUUAUCUCCUGAAACCAGAGAGCACCUUUACGGUUUUACCUACCACCAACAGCUUUUAGUUGGGCAAUAUGAUACGAUGCCUGAAUAUGACACAAGGACUGUUUAUGUCUAAGGCUUAUGCUCUACUACAAAAUGAGACUUUCCAUCCUUAUUGGAUCACUUCAGGAAAGACCAGGAAACAAUCAUUCCCACAAAUAUUCCACAGCAAAGUUCAAUGUCCAUGAAUGUCCAUUGAAUGCAACUAAUCAGGUACCAGUCCAUCUAUCCUGGAAUCAAUAUUGUUGACCCAAUUCCAGUAUCCCCAGUUUAUGCUAUGUAAACGGAUAUUUACUCUGCUUAUAAAGACUAAUUAAGACUCUUCAAAACAGUAUAU
Pelobates fuscus (common spadefoot toad) is the source of this 1280-nucleotide long non-coding RNA. RefSeq lists it as uncharacterized. Lineage: Eukaryota; Metazoa; Chordata; Amphibia; Anura; Pelobatidae. The record is from RefSeq and is a predicted model, not a curated record. The transcript is spliced from 8 exons.